This 457-nucleotide ribosomal RNA is filed under the name uncultured Campylobacterota bacterium. RNAcentral describes it as "bacterial SSU rRNA". It matches the Rfam family "Bacterial small subunit ribosomal RNA", at positions 8 to 460 of the family's 1533-position model. Lineage: Bacteria; Pseudomonadati; Campylobacterota. The record is from RNAcentral.
AGAGUUUGAUCAUGGCUCAGAGUGAACGCUGGCGGCGUGCUUAACACAUGCAAGUCGAACGAGAACGGCCCUAGCUUGCUAGGGUGUCAGCUAAGUGGCGGACGGGUGAGUAAUGUAUAGUUAAUCUGCCCCUUGGAGAGGGAUAACAGUUGGAAACGACUGCUAAUACCUCAUACUCCUUCUAUGUUAAUCAUAGUUGGGAAAUGUUUUUUCGCCAAGGGAUGAGACUAUAUGGUAUCAGGUAGUUGGUGGGGUAAGAGCCUACCAAGCCAAUGACGCCUAGCUGGUCUGAGAGGAUGAUCAGCCACACUGGAACUGAGACACGGUCCAGACUCCUACGGGAGGCAGCAGUGGGGAAUAUUGCACAAUGGAGGAAACUCUGAUGCAGCAACGCCGCGUGGAGGAUGACGCAUUUCGGUGUGUAAACUCCUUUUAUAUGGGAAGAGGNGGACGGUCC